This 96-nucleotide small RNA is filed under the name Parachlamydia acanthamoebae. RNAcentral's name for it is "SAM-I-IV-variant". Lineage: Bacteria; Pseudomonadati; Chlamydiota; Chlamydiia; Parachlamydiales; Parachlamydiaceae. The record is from RNAcentral.
CAAAAGCAUUAGGAGCAGAGGUUUCCCUUUUUCCAAUUAAGGACAUACAGGGAGAGUGGGUGUUUGAUGUGGAUGACAUCAAAAAACUCAUCAGGC